RNAcentral lists this ribosomal RNA (593 nucleotides) under Shigella sonnei. RNAcentral describes it as "partial 23S ribosomal RNA". It matches the Rfam family "Bacterial large subunit ribosomal RNA", at positions 474 to 1067 of the family's 2925-position model. The record is from RNAcentral. Lineage: Bacteria; Pseudomonadati; Pseudomonadota; Gammaproteobacteria; Enterobacterales; Enterobacteriaceae.
UCCUGACUGACCGAUAGUGAACCAGUACCGUGAGGGAAAGGCGAAAAGAACCCCGGCGAGGGGAGUGAAAAAGAACCUGAAACCGUGUACGUACAAGCAGUGGGAGCACGCUUAGGCGUGUGACUGCGUACCUUUUGUAUAAUGGGUCAGCGACUUAUAUUCUGUAGCAAGGUUAACCGAAUAGGGGAGCCGAAGGGAAACCGAGUCUUAACUGGGCGUUAAGUUGCAGGGUAUAGACCCGAAACCCGGUGAUCUAGCCAUGGGCAGGUUGAAGGUUGGGUAACACUAACUGGAGGACCGAACCGACUAAUGUUGAAAAAUUAGCGGAUGACUUGUGGCUGGGGGUGAAAGGCCAAUCAAACCGGGAGAUAGCUGGUUCUCCCCGAAAGCUAUUUAGGUAGCGCCUCGUGAAUUCAUCUCCGGGGGUAGAGCACUGUUUCGGCAAGGGGGUCAUCCCGACUUACCAACCCGAUGCAAACUGCGAAUACCGGAGAAUGUUAUCACGGGAGACACACGGCGGGUGCUAACGUCCGUCGUGAAGAGGGAAACAACCCAGACCGCCAGCUAAGGUCCCAAAGUCAUGGUUAAGUGGG